CACCUGCGCCACAAGUGGCAAUCACGUUUAUUGGGCCUAAAGCGUUCGUAGCCGGCAAUGUAAAUCUUUUGUGAAAUUGUAUUGCUUAACAUUACAUCGUGCAGGGGACACUGCAUUGCUUGAGACCAGGAAGAGUUGGAAGUAUGCCAAGGGGAGCGGUAAAAUGUUAUAAUCCUUGGUAGACUACCUGUGGCGAAGGCGUCCAACUAGAAUGGCUCUGACGGUGAGGAACGAAAGCCAGGGGAGCGAUCCGG
RNAcentral lists this ribosomal RNA (254 nucleotides) under uncultured bacterium. RNAcentral describes it as "partial 16S ribosomal RNA". It matches the Rfam family "Archaeal small subunit ribosomal RNA", at positions 474 to 727 of the family's 1478-position model. The record is from RNAcentral.